This 253-nucleotide ribosomal RNA is filed under the name uncultured bacterium. RNAcentral's name for it is "partial 16S ribosomal RNA". It matches the Rfam family "Bacterial small subunit ribosomal RNA", at positions 524 to 776 of the family's 1533-position model. The record is from RNAcentral.
UACAGAGGGUGCAAACGUUGUUCGGAAUUACUGGGCGUAAAGCGCGUGUAGGCGGUCUUACAAGUCGGGUGUGAAACCCCUGGGCUCAACCCGGGAAGUGCAUUCGAUACUGUCGGACUGGAGUCCCGGAGAGGAUGGUGGAACUCUCGGUGUAGAGGUGAAAUUCGUAGAUAUCGGGAAGAACAUCGGUGGCGAAGGCGGCCAUCUGGACGGUGACUGACGCUGAGACGCGAAAGCGUGGGGAGCAAACAGG